AACGAACGCUGGCGGCAUGCCUAACACAUGCAAGUCGAACGAGACCUUCGGGUCUAGUGGCGCACGGGUGCGUAACGCGUGGGAACCUGCCCUUAGGUUCGGAAUAACUCCCCGAAAGGGGUGCUAAUACCGGAUAAUGUCUUCGGACCAAAGAUUUAUCGCCUUUGGAUGGGCCCGCGUUGGAUUAGCUAGUUGGUAGGGUAAAAGCCUACCACGGCGACGAUCCAUAGCUGGUCUGAGAGGAUGAUCAGCCACACUGGGACUGAGACACGGCCCAGACUCCUACGGGAGGCAGCAGUGGGGAAUAUUGGACAAUGGGCGAAAGCCUGAUCCAGCAAUGCCGCGUGAGUGAUGAAGGCCUGAGGGUUGUAAAGCUCUUUUACCCGGGAUGAUAAUGACAGUACCGGGAGAAUAAGCUCCGGCUAACUCCGUG
RNAcentral lists this ribosomal RNA (433 nucleotides) under uncultured bacterium. RNAcentral's name for it is "partial 16S ribosomal RNA". It matches the Rfam family "Bacterial small subunit ribosomal RNA", at positions 29 to 507 of the family's 1533-position model. The record is from RNAcentral.